Oncorhynchus tshawytscha (Chinook salmon) is the source of this 1031-nucleotide long non-coding RNA. RefSeq lists it as uncharacterized. The record is from RefSeq and is a predicted model, not a curated record. Lineage: Eukaryota; Metazoa; Chordata; Actinopteri; Salmoniformes; Salmonidae. The transcript is spliced from 3 exons.
UCUCCAGGAACAGGGUUGGAGAGCCCUGUGAUAGGACGGCGUAAAGAAAAAGAUAGCCGAAAUAGCAGUGGGCUGCAGUAGUGUGUGUUCUGGAGGCUAGACCAUCCUAAGCCACGCCCCUUGUGACUUUUGAGGGGAAAACAAAUCAUUCCUCCCCUUUUCUGGGUUUUAAUGGACAACCCUACGCUGGGUUUUGAUGCUAAUGACCAAGAACCCCCUUAUACAUGACAGGGUCCAAGAAGAGAUCAGUAGCGUCAUAGGAAGUUGUCAGCCCUUAGUAGAGGACAGGAAGAACCUGCUCUACACUGAUACAGUGAUCCAUGAGACCCAGAGACUAGCCAACAUUUUACCCAUGGCCAUCCCUCACACCUCUAGGCGAGACAUCACUUUCCAGGGCAUCAUCUUCCACUUCAUCAAGAAGGGGACGCUUGUUUUCUCGACUGACGUUUGUCCUACAAGACGGGAGUGAAUGGAAGAGCUCACACACCUUCAUCCCAGCCCACUUUCUGGAUGAGAAAAGUCGAUUUGUCAAGAGGGAUGCCUUCAUGCUCUGCUCUGCAGGCAAUUCCAAAGUUUGUUUCUUAAUUUACACUAUCAUUCAGCAAUUAACUCAAUCAGAUAUUCUAUUGUGCUCAUUACUUUGGCCCAGAGAGAGUUGAGGGGAUGGACGGGUCUGUGACAAAUAUAGAUACAUAUAACACUAAGCGAUUCAUUCAGAAUCCAUCUACGGUGGUCUAACGUUUUGGCAAUUGCUUUGAACCAGAGAGUUGAUGGUAUAGUUUAUGUUAUAGAAAUGUGUGUACAAUUUGACAUCUAUUGAUAUGUCAACUAUAGGAAAUAUAUGUAGACCUAAUUGUUAUAUGGUGUCAGAGAGAAUAUAGUAGACGGCAUGUGUCAAAAAGUGAUUGAUGAUCUAUUUUUAGUGUUACUUGUUUAUGCCCUUUUAUGGACAUCCUGUCCGGAUGUUCUCACGCUAUGGAAAUCCUGUCCGGAUUUUCUCAUGCUAUAGAGUGAGUGCUUAUGUAACAUGA